CCUACGGGUGGCAGCAGUGGGGAAUAUUGGACAAUGGGCGAAAGCCUGAUCCAGCCAUGCCGCGUGUGUGAAGAAGGCCUUCGGGUUGUAAAGCACUUUCAGUGGGGAAGAAAGCCUUGGGGCUAAUACCCUCGAGGAAGGACAUCACCCACAGAAGAAGCACCGGCUAACUCCGUGCCAGCAGCCGCGGUAAUACGGAGGGUGCGAGCGUUAAUCGGAAUUACUGGGCGUAAAGCGCGCGUAGGCGGUCUGAUAAGCCGGUUGUGAAAGCCCCGGGCUCAACCUGGGAACGGCAUCCGGAACUGUCAGGCUAGAGUGCAGGAGAGGAAGGUAGAAUUCCCGGUGUAGCGGUGAAAUGCGUAGAGAUCGGGGGGAAUACCAGUGGCGAAGGCGGCCUUCUGGACUGACACUGACGCUGAGGUGCGAAAGCGUGGGUAGCAAACAGGAUUAGAUACCCUAGUAGUC
This 465-nucleotide ribosomal RNA is filed under the name Vreelandella stevensii. Its description in RNAcentral is "partial 16S ribosomal RNA". It matches the Rfam family "Bacterial small subunit ribosomal RNA", at positions 338 to 795 of the family's 1533-position model. Lineage: Bacteria; Pseudomonadati; Pseudomonadota; Gammaproteobacteria; Oceanospirillales; Halomonadaceae. The record is from RNAcentral.